This 253-nucleotide ribosomal RNA is filed under the name uncultured bacterium. Its description in RNAcentral is "partial 16S ribosomal RNA". It matches the Rfam family "Bacterial small subunit ribosomal RNA", at positions 524 to 776 of the family's 1533-position model. The record is from RNAcentral.
UACGGGGGGGGCAAGCGUUGUUCGGAAUUACUGGGCGUAAAGGGUGCGUAGGCGGCUUUCUAAGUUGGAUGUGAAAACUCUGGGCUCAACCCAGAGCCUGCAUCCAAAACUGGAGAGCUUGGGUUCUGGAGGGGAAAGCGGAAUUCCUGGUGUAGCGGUGAAAUGCGUAGAUAUCAGGAGGAACACCGGUGGCGAAGGCGGCAUUCUGGACCGACAUUGACGCUGAGGAGCGAAAGCCAGGGGAGCAAACGGG